UAAUUCUUUGAGUAACCAGAUCUUUCAGCAUAUUUGAGAAACAAAAUGAAGUAAUCUAGGUUUAGGAAGAAUCUCUUUAAAAGGCAUAUUUUUCCUCCUUAUUGUUGAACAAUUUGUCCAAAACACAAUCCAUUCAUGUAGGAUUUUUGCUGUUCAGAUCUAAGUGGGAAUCAGUAGUUUCUUUGUUGGUCACUAUGGAAACGAGUCAGCCUAUCUUGAAUAGCUCUUAGAUCAUGCAGAAUGAUGCUUGUGUCUCAGUGUACUUGCUCACUGAGCAAGCCAGGGCUGACUUCUCCCUGCCUCCAGCUUGCCUCCCUGGAGCCAGCGCCAUGCAGGUGCAGGAUGUGUCCCGGAGACCCUCGGCCAUGCAUUUCCUCAGCUCCUUUCUACAGGGUCGCCGGCAUUCCACUUCGGACCCCGUUGUGAGGCUGCAGCAGGCUCGGCGUGGCUCGGGCUCUGCCACAAAGCUACUGUCCUCAUCCUCUCUUCAGGUGAUGGUGGCGGUGUCCUCUGUCAGCCAACCAGAGGGGAACCCAACUUUUCCGGAGAGAAAAAGAAAUUCUAGACACCCAACACCAAAGUACACAAAAGUGGGAGAACGUUUACGGCAUGUCAUCCCUGGACAUAUGGCAUGUUCCAUGGCAUGUGGUGGUAGAGCAUGCAAGUACGAGAACCCAACCCGCUGGAGUGAGCAGGAGCAAGCCAUUAAAGGGGUUUACUCAUCUUGUUCCUCCCCUAUCUGCAGGAUCACUGACAAUAUCCUGGCCAUGGCUCGCCCGUCCUCGGAACUUCUCCAAAAGUACUGCAUCAUUGAGCAGUUCCUCAGUCAUGGCAUAAAAACAAUCAUCAACCUGCAGCGGCCUGGUGAACAUGCUAGCUGUGGGAACUCCCUGGAACAAGAAAGUGGCUUCACCUACCUUCCUGAAGCAUUCAUGGAGGCUGGCAUUUAUUUCUAUAACUUCGGCUGGAAGGAUUAUGGUGUUGCCUCUCUCACUGCCAUCUUAGAUAUGGUGAAAGUAAUGACAUUUGCAUUACAAGAAGGAAAAGUAGCCAUCCAUUGUCAUGCAGGGCUUGGCCGAACAGGUGUUCUAAUAGCAUGUUAUUUAGUGUUUGCAACAAGAAUGACUGCUGAUCAAGCAAUUAUAUUUGUGCGGGCAAAGCGACCCAAUUCCAUACAAACCAGAGGACAGCUGCUCUGUGUACGGGAAUUUACUCAGUUUCUAACUCCUCUCCGCAAUAUCUUCUCUUGCUGUGAUCCCAAAGCACAUGCUGUCACCUUAGCCCAGUACUUAAUUCGCCAGCGUCAUCUGCUUCACGGUUAUGAGGCACGACUUCUGAAACAUGUGCCAAAAAUCAUCCACCUAAUUUGCAAAUUGCUACUGGACUUGGCUGAGAACAGGCCGGUGCUGAUGAAGGAUGGAUUGAAAGGGUCUGAACUCUCUGCUGAAAUAGAAAAGACUGUUUCUGAGAUGGUCACAGUGCGCCUAGAUAAAGAGUUACUGAGGCACCACAGUGUCAUAGCUGAUUCAUUUAACUCUACUGGAGUGGCAACAGAGCUUGAGAAUCAAGAAGUGAUUCUUUCCAAUGAGCAAGAGUUUGAUCCUCUUUGGAAGAGGCGGAAUGUUGAGUACCUUCAGCCCCUGACUCGGCUGAAAAGACGGCUCAGCUACAGUGACUCAGACCUGAAGAGGGCAGAGGCUCUCCUCGAGCAAGGUGAAACUCCAUGGACAGUGCCUGCCCGGGACUUACUAGGUCACAACCUCCAGCAUCAGAAGCCCAGCAGCCACUGUUACACUCCACUGUCUCCAGAGCUGAAUCUCAGUAAGGAAACAUUGGUUCACAGUACAUUUUCCUUCUGGAACCAAUCUAAAUGUGGCUACCUGGAAGGACACAAAGAAGAUGAAUCACCCCUUUGCCAAAGGAGAGACAUUCAAAAGGAAAUACAACGCAGUCGAACCUUCUCCGUGGGUGUUUCGGGUUCACACCCUGGAGAACCGGUUUCACCCACCUUUACAAAUAUCUCCAAGAACCCAAAUCCCUCUCACCAGCAAUUGGCCCACUGUCAGUAUGACCCUCAUGGUGGCUGGAGCCCAGGCUCUGUCAAGGUGGAGGGCAGGAUUCACUGCAGACCUCUGGACUGUGGCUCCAGUCCCAAGGUACAGGUGCUGAUUGGACCUAAAACCCAGGACAGCAAAGAUCUGUCUGAAGCAGUGCCACACACCAAUUUGCAGUCUGAACUAAGUGUGGAAGCAAGGAGAAUACUGGCAGCCAGAGCCCUGGCAAACUUAAAUGAGUUUGCAGAAAAGGAGGAGGUGAAAAAGAAGGUAGAAAUGUGGCAGAAAGAACUAAAUUCCCAAGAUGGAGCUUGGGAAAGAAUAUGUGGUGAGAGAGACCCUUUCAUCUUGUGUGGUUUGAUGUGGUCUUGGGUGGAGCAACUGAAAGAACCUGUAAUCACUAAAGAGGAUGUGGACAUGUUGGUUGACAGACAGGCUGAUGCUGCUGAAGCCCUGUUCUUACUAGAGACGGGACAGCACCAGACUAUCCUUUGCGUGUUGCAUUGCAUAGUGAAUCUGCAGACAAUACCUGUGGAAGUGGAGGAAGCUUGCCUUGCUCAUGCCAUUAAAGCUUUUACUAAGUUGUUGCCAGAAGAAACAACCUGCAUUUGUCAGAAUUCACCUGAGAAGGAUCACGCCUAGGAGGAAAGCCGAGAGCCCAAGAUAGAUCCUGGUUGUUUCUCAGUGGGUCACAUGUUCCUCUGGGGAUGGGGCACUUGCUAUACUUCUCUGUCCUGCUGUCCCUCCUCACCCAGAGUACGGCUGCCUGGGCAAAGACUCUGUCUGUACACAGUACCUUUUCAGCAAGGAGAAGAAGACUAGCUUUUACUGAGGUUUUCAUGUGCAAAUAUAUGUUAGAUGCCCAUAAAUACCAGACUUCAUUUACUCUCACAAAAACCCUAAGGCACUGGGUGUUGUGGUCUCUACUUGACAGAGGAGGAAAUUGAGGCCCACAGAGAUGGGGUAUGACAUGGAGAUACACAGCUGGUAGAUGGAAUCAGCUCGGCACUCGGGUCACUCCAACACGGGUCCAGAAUGGCCUGGGGCCUCUCAGCACCGUACUUAUUGCUGACAUGCUUUCUUUAAUAAAGGAGACUUGUCCUUAAAUAACAGUGAUUGUCUCUGAAUUAAAGACACACUUCACAUUCACUGCUGACUCUUCAUGGUUAGAUCUAUAUAAUCAUGCUAAAUAUCCAGGUACUAGAUUAAUUUUUUGAAUGUUUAAUCAAAGUCUGAUAUUAAUAUGAUUGGCAGUUCUAAUAUAUUCUUUCAAUUAAAAUGUGUGAAAUUUAUUAUGUGUAUUUUUUAAAUUAUACCUUUUUUUGUUUGUUUUUUUGAGACAGGGUCUUGCUAUGUAGUUCAGGCUGGUCUUGAACUCACUAUGUAGCCUGGGCUGGCCUUGAACUCACAGUGAUCUCCUGCCUCAGCCUCCUAAAUGCUGGAAUUACAGGUUAAUUUUGAUUCUGAAAAUGGACCAAUCAUUUACAACACCCUGAAGAAAAUAUUUAAGCACACGUUAGAAGAAAAGAGAAAAAUGGCAAAAGACGGCUCCAUGCCUGGCCUCUUAUGAAGUUGACUUUCUUCUCACCCUGAAUAUUUCAGACCUAAAGAUCCAAAUACCAUUUCUGCUCACAUGUGGAUAAACUGAAGUUUGUGGAGCUGCUUUUUCUCAUAGCACUUUAUUUUGGAUGCCAUUGGCUUAUGCUGAGAAUGAUCAUUCCUGUUUGGAACUAUUAUUUAUUUUAAAAUAUCUUGAGCUACAUCUUAGUCUUUAAAAAAUUGCUAUAAAGUUGGUGCCACUUUUAUUUAUUUGAGUGAAAUAACAUUGUAUUAACAUUUUAAGUGUGUGGCGUUUACAUCCUUAUUCUCUUUGACAUUUUGGGAAAAAAACAGCUUUUCCUUCCAAAACAGUUAUUUUCUUGACAGAACUCUUCCUAGAGCUUCUACCAAAUAGAUCAUUUUAGUAGUAAAACCUCUCUGUGUAUACACCCCUGGGCACAUGACCUAAGAAAGUCACCAAGUGUCUUAAACUGUUUUAUAUUUGUUACUAAGAAGGCUGUUGAUACAUUUUUAGAGGACUUUUUAAAACUUUGAAAGUUUUUGGAUUUUUUUUCUUUUUAUAAAUGUGACAAAGAGUUUCAAAGUGUAUUCUUUUCAGAGUGAUUUAGUUUUAAUGGACUGACCUUGAAAUGGUCAGGAUUUUUUACUUGUAGAAAGUGGACUCAUUCUUCAUCAGGCUUCUGCACAACUUCAGCCUGGGCUGUAACAGGAGGCAGGGAGAAUUGUCAACACACCAGGCCUUAUUCCCACUCCCCUGAGCUGCUGCUGAGCCAGAGAGAAUCAGGGAUCAGAAGCAGGCAUGUGAAAGUCACUGUGGAAACGGAUUCGCCUUUGUCUCCCAGUGACUUCACAGAAAGGACGGUCAUGCUAGGGCAGAGCUCUGUGCCAGCCCUGCUCUCUCUGGGCACAAGAGACAACUCUAGGCUGGAGGGAGUUGGGAAGGGGCCGCCGUCUAUGCCAGUGAGGUCUAAGCAUGAUCCCCCUCCCCCAUGCUGGCCAAGCCACACACUCCCAAAUCUGCCACUCCGCAGACUCGCUGGCCUCGGGCCCCUACUUUUGACUGAUGUUUUUACUAUGACAAUUAGUUUUUAAAUUGAUACUCCAGGUUGCAUUCACCCUAACUUAGCCUCAGAUAAGAAUAGGUGACUGCCUAAACUCGUUCCUUAUAGGCUAAACUAUCAAACAGCAGUUGAAGCCAUAACUUUUAUUUAAUUAAAUAAUAUGUGGGAGUAGCAGUGGCCAAACCAGAGAAAAGAAAGUAGCAUUUUCAAUAAAGAUGGUAAUAAUCAGACCAAUUUCAAACUGAAGAGGCUGCUCCUUAAUUUCAAGAUGGAAUUUCAGGGGAAGCAAGACUAAUUAAGGAAAAAUGAAAUUUCUCCAAUUCCUGCAUUUGUGAAUUACACUCAAAUACAUGAAAAGAUAUUUGUCAUUCUCAUUCACACUAAUUCUAACAGAAAGGCUAAUGUCAUUUUUUUUCAUGCUGUUUGAAUUUUCUUGGGAAAUCAAGUCCAAUGAAUGUUAAUGAACUGAUUUGCCCACACCUGAAAUGUCUCAUUUUUCAAGCCCCUAGCCUGGGAAAGGAGAAGAAACAAUUGCUUUUUAUCUAGAGGUACAAUUAGGAAUGUAGGAUUUUUACCAAAAACUGUUCGUAUAUCCACCAGCCUCAAUACACACACACACACACACACACGCACACACACAGUACCACAGCUCUUUGACCAGUUCUUAUUUUGUU
Heterocephalus glaber (naked mole-rat) is the source of this 5349-nucleotide non-coding RNA. The record is from RefSeq and is a predicted model, not a curated record. Lineage: Eukaryota; Metazoa; Chordata; Mammalia; Rodentia; Bathyergidae.